GGUGGUUGGGUGGUUGGGGGGAACUCCUCCCCUUUUCAUUCCCUCUGGCUAUUCUCCAGGUUUACAGUCAUGUUGCCACACUAUGUCAACAGCCCAGAUGUAACCCCUCAGCUGUCUUGUGCAACACUGCAUUUCUUCCUGAAGAAGCAGGAAAACACAACUGAAUUUUCAGGAACCAGCAGUGACAGAAAGUUGAGCUGAGCCUACUUUGCUUGAAUGCUUUUUUGGAACAUGCAGUGCCCAUAAACGUGUUCUUUGCUGUCCCACGUGCCAGAGAUUCCAGAGGCUGCACUGCAGCUACCCAGGACAAGGAAUAAAAUAAUAGGAAAGUCAUCAUCACCUCAGCCAAAUGACUGGAAUUCAGCCCAAGAUUCCAUUUUUUUAAUGUGCUGCAAUAAUUCAAAAUUGAAACCUGAAUGGUCUUGACAUUGUUUCUGUAUUGUGAAAAUAUUUAAGGUGCUUGGAUGCCUAAAUUUCACCAAAUUUCUAUACCUGCUCAAAAGCAAACCUUGGAAAAAAAUUAAAAUUUACUAAUGUGUUUAGUCAUAUAUGGAUAAUUCUAAAAGGAAUCUCCUUAUUUAAACUUAAUUCCUAUUGAAUUUAUAUUCUCUUAUACUAUAUAUAUUAUAUAUAUAAUAUAGUCUAUUUUUUUCAUAAUACUACAUAUAUAAUAUAUAUUUUAUAUAUAUAAUACUUAUUAUUAUUGAAUUCCUAUUGUUUUUAAAACAUAAAAGGAGAUAGCUGGACAGCAUGCCAGGUGCAUUGGUGUACCAAAUUCAAAGAUUUUUUUUAAAUAGUAAGGUCAUUUAUUUAGGUAUUAGAUUAAGAGCCUAGAUUUUUCAAAUCAUCUUCCCUCCAAUGUGAACAGGAAAUUUCCUCACAUCAUCCUUCCUCAGGGUCUAGUUUUCUACGGAAGUAGGAAUAGGUUGGUAAGGAUCUCUGCAAGUUAUCUGGACUUACUGGGUGGAGUUUCUUUUACAUCAGGUAUGCUCAGGUGUGGAAACCGAGUCACAGGGCUGUGCUCAGAGCAAGCUGAGGAUCACAGACCUGUCAUCAGGUGUGAGAACCAGGAAACCUUUGAGUUCUGACUCUGUGUCAUGAACAGUAGUAUCAUGGCCUUUAUUCGUUAAAUGAUCCAUAAAUAAAUUAAAAUCAAGAGAAAGAAAAAAGAAAAAA
This 1176-nucleotide long non-coding RNA is filed under the name Manacus vitellinus (golden-collared manakin). RNAcentral's name for it is "lncRNA (ENSMVIG00005000256.1)". The record is from RNAcentral. Lineage: Eukaryota; Metazoa; Chordata; Aves; Passeriformes; Pipridae.